CUUCACGAAAUUGUAGCCGACUCAGAGUUCCAUAGAAUCAGGGACAAGAGCCGGUCUUCGUUCGGAUGAAAUUUGCAUGAAAACCGCUGUAGGUAUUUUCAAUCUGGUUCGUGGAGAAUGCUUCACUCAUUUGUCUGUUACAAACUCCCGAACGCCGUUCUUCUGCCGUAUUGUCACGGCUGCUAGUGUGGUCCAACACGCAGAAACUAUGUAAAC
This is a non-coding RNA of Pelobates cultripes (western spadefoot toad), 216 nucleotides long. NCBI's taxonomy places the organism in Eukaryota, Metazoa, Chordata, Amphibia, Anura, Pelobatidae. The record is from the annotation of a GenBank genome assembly.